AGCGAACGCUGGCGGCAGGCCUAACACAUGCAAGUCGAGCGCCCGUAGCAAUACGGGAGCGGCAGACGGGUGAGUAACACGUGGGAACGUGCCCUUUGGUUCGGAAUAACUCAGGGUAACUUGAGCUAAUACCGGAUAAGCCCUUACGGGGAAAGAUUUAUUGCCGAAGGAGCGGCCCGCGUCCGAUUAGCUAGUUGGUGAGGUAACGGCUCACCAAGGCUACGAUCGGUAGCUGGUCUGAGAGGAUGACCAGCCACACUGGGACUGAGACACGGCCCAGACUCCUACGGGAGGCAGCAGUGGGGAAUAUUGGACAAUGGGGGCAACCCUGAUCCAGCCAUGCCGCGUGGGUGAUGAAGGCCCUAGGGUUGUAAAGCCCUUUCGGCGGGGAAGAUAAUGACGGUACCCGCAGAAGAAGCCCCGGCUAACUUCGUGCCAGCCGCCGCGGUAA
RNAcentral lists this ribosomal RNA (451 nucleotides) under uncultured bacterium. RNAcentral describes it as "partial 16S ribosomal RNA". It matches the Rfam family "Bacterial small subunit ribosomal RNA", at positions 29 to 523 of the family's 1533-position model. The record is from RNAcentral.